RNAcentral lists this long non-coding RNA (958 nucleotides) under Mytilus galloprovincialis (Mediterranean mussel). The record is from RNAcentral. Lineage: Eukaryota; Metazoa; Mollusca; Bivalvia; Mytilida; Mytilidae.
GGGGAUCUCAACCGUUUUCAAAUUCUCAAACCGGAAGGGGAAGAGUGGCCCCACGAACUCCACCUAUAUUUCAUAUGAUUUGUUAUAUUGUCCCAUACAUGAAUAUAUAUGGUUUAGGGGUGGGGAUCUUGACCGUUUCCAAGUUUUCAAAUAUGAGGGGUGGGGUGAUCCCCAGGGACUCCCCCUACAUAUUUCAUUUGAUUUGUUAUAUUGUCCCCUACAUGAAGAUAUAUGGUUUAGGGAUGGGGAUCUCGACCGUUACCAAGUUCUCAAACAGGAAGGGUGGGAUUACCCCCAGGGACUCCCCAUAUAUUUCAUUUGAAUAUAUAUGUAUUUUCCCAUACAUGAAUAAAUAUGGUUUAGGGGAGGGGAUCUCGACUGUUUCCAAGUUAUAAAAUAUGAGGGGAUGGGCCGACCCUAGGGACUUUCCCUAUAUUUCAUUUGAUUAGUUAUUUAGUCUCAUACAUGAAUGUAUAUGGUUGAGGGUGGGGAUCUCAUCCGUUUCAAAGUUAUCAAACAGGAGGAGGUAGAGUGGCCCAAUGGACUCCACCUAUAUAUCAAAUGAUUUUCUUACAUUCAGGUAUCAUAUAAUAUAUUUGCACUAUUUGUGCCUGUCCCAAGUCAGGAGCCUGUAAUUCAGUGGUUGUCGUUUGGUUUUGUGUUACAUAUUUGUUUUUUUGUUAUUUUUUUUUAUAUAAAUAGGGCCGUUAGUUUUCUAGUUUGAAUUGUUUCACAUUGUCUUAUUGGGGCCUUUUAUAGCUGACUAUGCGGUAUGGGCUUUGCUCAUUGUUGAAGGGUGUACGAUGACCUAUUGUUGUUAAUGUCUGUGUCAUUUUGGUCUCUUAUGGAUAGUUGUCUCAUUGGCAAUCAUACCACAUCUUUUUGUUAUAUAAGAAACUUCAAGCUAUAUUAACUGACCUAUCAAAAUUGAGAAGAAAAAAAUACUCCUGAAAAUUGC